GCCUGCUUCCUAACCGACUUCUCAGAACUGCCUGCCGCUGGGCUGCCUAACAGAAGCUCAAGUUCUGGGAUUCCACCCUUGAAAAGAAAUGAAUCUGCACUUAACUUAGUGAGCCCUGUAGGUCAGGUCGAGUUUAGGUCAAAGUUGUGGGCCCAGCCGAGAUGGGAGCAUCCCAGCCUUCCCAGGCACUUCCCCUCACUGUGAUGGACACCAGUGAAGGAACAUAGGAAGAACAAAGGUUCAUGCAAUGAAGCUUCGUGAAAUACUAUUGACUGUGCGGCCAUUCUCUUGGGAUCCCAGCCCUGUUAUUAGCAGAAGACAAUGUGACAAAAAGCUAACUUAAAUAAAACAACGAUCAAGAGUUAUCCCCA
This 371-nucleotide long non-coding RNA is filed under the name Mus spicilegus (steppe mouse). RNAcentral describes it as "lncRNA (ENSMSIG00000001329.1)". Lineage: Eukaryota; Metazoa; Chordata; Mammalia; Rodentia; Muridae. The record is from RNAcentral.